AACGAACGCUGGCGGCAUGCCUAACACAUGCAAGUCGAACGAGAUCUUCAGGUCUAGUGGCGCACGGGUGCGUAACGCGUGGGAAUCUGCCCUUUGGUUCGGAAUAACAGUUGGAAACGACUGCUAAUACCGGAUGAUGACGCAAGUCCAAAGAUUUAUCGCCAGAGGAUGAGCCCGCGUAGGAUUAGCUAGUUGGUGUGGUAAAGGCGCACCAAGGCGACGAUCCUUAGCUGGUCUGAGAGGAUGAUCAGCCACACUGGGACUGAGACACGGCCCAGACUCCUACGGGAGGCAGCAGUGGGGAAUAUUGGACAAUGGGCGAAAGCCUGAUCCAGCAAUGCCGCGUGAGUGAUGAAGGCCUUAGGGUUGUAAAGCUCUUUUACCCGGGAUGAUAAUGACAGUACCGGGAGAAUAAGCUCCGGCUAACUCCGUGCCAGCCGCCGCGGUAA
This 449-nucleotide ribosomal RNA is filed under the name uncultured bacterium. RNAcentral's name for it is "partial 16S ribosomal RNA". It matches the Rfam family "Bacterial small subunit ribosomal RNA", at positions 29 to 523 of the family's 1533-position model. The record is from RNAcentral.